CAUCCUCCAAGGCUAAAUACUCCUGACUGACCGAUAGUGAACCAGUACCGUGAGGGAAAGGCGAAAAGAACCCCGGCGAGGGGAGUGAAAAAGAACCUGAAACCGUGUACGUACAAGCAGUGGGAGCCCCACCACUAAGCCAGUGGUGAACUCCACAUACGCAUCCUUUGCUGAGGAUACGGUUAACGGAGCGCAAGCGACGUUCAACCUCAAAAGAAGCAGAGGGGGCUUAGUGGUGGGGUGACUGCGUACCUUUUGUAUAAUGGGUCAGCGACUUAUAUUCUGUAGCAAGGUUAACCGUAUAGGGGAGCCGUAGGGAAACCGAGUCUUAACCGGGCGUUAAGUUGCAGGGUAUAGACCCGAAACCCGGUGAUCUAGCCAUGGGCAGGUUGAAGGUUGGGUAACACUAACUGGAGGACCGAACCGACUAAUGUUGAAAAA
RNAcentral lists this ribosomal RNA (441 nucleotides) under Salmonella enterica subsp. enterica serovar Ouakam. Its description in RNAcentral is "partial 23S ribosomal RNA". It matches the Rfam family "Bacterial large subunit ribosomal RNA", at positions 454 to 796 of the family's 2925-position model. Lineage: Bacteria; Pseudomonadati; Pseudomonadota; Gammaproteobacteria; Enterobacterales; Enterobacteriaceae. The record is from RNAcentral.